GACGAACCGAGCGAACGUUGUUCAGAAUUACUGGGCGUAAAGGGCUCGUAGGCGGCCAACUAAGUCACACGUGAAAUCCCCAGGCUUAACCUGGGAACUGCGUGUGAUACUGGAUGGCUUGAAUUCGGGAGAGGGAUGCAGAAUUCCAGGUGUAGCGGUGAAAUGCGUAGAUAUCUGGAGGAAUACCGGUGGCGAAGGCGGCAUCCUGGACCGACAUUGACGCUGAGGAGCGAAAGCUAGGGGAGCAAACGGG
RNAcentral lists this ribosomal RNA (253 nucleotides) under uncultured bacterium. RNAcentral describes it as "partial 16S ribosomal RNA". It matches the Rfam family "Bacterial small subunit ribosomal RNA", at positions 524 to 776 of the family's 1533-position model. The record is from RNAcentral.